RNAcentral lists this ribosomal RNA (867 nucleotides) under uncultured Actinobacteridae bacterium. Its description in RNAcentral is "bacterial SSU rRNA". It matches the Rfam family "Bacterial small subunit ribosomal RNA", at positions 8 to 888 of the family's 1533-position model. The record is from RNAcentral. Lineage: Bacteria; Bacillati; Actinomycetota; Actinomycetes.
AGGGUUUGAUCCUGGCUCAGGACGAACGCUGGCGGCGUGCUUAACACAUGCAAGUCGAACGGAAAGCCCCUUUCGGGGGGACUCGAGUGGCGAACGGGUGAGUAACACGUGGGUGAUCUGCCCUGCACUUUGGGAUAAGCCUGGGAAACUGGGUCUAAUACCGAAUAUGAUCACGGGCUUCAUGGUCUGUGGUGGAAAGCUUUUGCGGUGUGGGAUGGGCCCGCGGCCUAUCAGCUUGUUGGUGGGGUAAUGGCCUACCAAGGCGACGACGGGUAGCCGGCCUGAGAGGGUGUCCGGCCACACUGGGACUGAGACACGGCCCAGACUCCUACGGGAGGCAGCAGUGGGGAAUAUUGCACAAUGGGCGCAAGCCUGAUGCAGCGACGCCGCGUGAGGGAUGACGGCCUUCGGGUUGUAAACCUCUUUCAGCAUCGACGAAGCGCAAGUGACGGUAGAUGCAGAAGAAGCACCGGCCAACUACGUGCCAGCAGCCGCGGUAAUACGUAGGGUGCGAGCGUUGUCCGGAAUUACUGGGCGUAAAGAGCUCGUAGGUGGUUUGUCGCGUUGUCCGUGAAAACUCACAGCUUAACUGUGGGCGUGCGGGCGAUACGGGCAGACUGGAGUACUGCAGGGGAGACUGGAAUUCCUGGUGUAGCGGUGGAAUGCGCAGAUAUCAGGAGGAACACCGGUGGCGAAGGCGGGUCUCUGGGCAGUAACUGACGCUGGGGAGCGAAAGCGUGGGGAGCGAACAGGAUUAGAUACCCUGAUAGUCCACGCCGUAAACGGUGGGUACUAGGUGUGGGUUUCCUUCCUUGGGAUCCGUGCCGUAGCUAACGCAUUAAGUACCCCGCCUGGGGAGUACGGCCG